GGCAGUGGUAGCUCAGUGGUUAAGAUGUUGGGCUACUGAUGAGAAGGUUCUGAGUUCAAACACCAGCAAUGCCA
Ameiurus melas (black bullhead) is the source of this 74-nucleotide non-coding RNA. Lineage: Eukaryota; Metazoa; Chordata; Actinopteri; Siluriformes; Ictaluridae. The record is from the annotation of a GenBank genome assembly.